This 960-nucleotide ribosomal RNA is filed under the name Triticum aestivum (bread wheat). RNAcentral's name for it is "partial small subunit ribosomal RNA". Lineage: Eukaryota; Viridiplantae; Streptophyta; Magnoliopsida; Poales; Poaceae. The record is from RNAcentral.
AUGGCCGCCUCCGCCGUCUCCCGCCUCAACCCCAUAGCCUCGCCUUACCUUCCGAUGACACUCGCUCCCACGUGGUGCUACCCCUCUCCUUUCUCCUACCUGCCGCCUCCGGCCCCACUCCCGCCGGCGCACGGGUGGCCUUUUGCCUACGGCGGCGACUGGUGCCACACAGUGGGGAUGCCCUCGUUCCCGCUGCAGACAGCAUACGGGCACCCCGCUCCAUUGAUGGUUUAUUGCUGCACGGCGCCGCCACCGCCACCGCAAUCGGCGACCCGUUGUCGAAUCACGGAGAUCAUCGAGGACGGAGGCGAGGUAGCCUCGAAGGAAGAGGUCAGGGACGAGCCUUCCCCGCGCUCCGUCCUCACUCCUUGGAGCAGGGAUCCGCCCACUUCGCCCCUGCCACCGCGAGCGCCGCUUCUGCGCCCCCCGCCGCGUACGUCUUCCGCGGGCAAACCUCGCCGCCGCCAGUGGCCACGCCUCGCCUUCAACCCCAAAGAGAAUAACACGUCCCUGAUGAUUCGCAAUAUUCCCAAUAAAUUUAUGAAGAGGAGAUUCAUGGCUAUCCUCGACCAGCACUGCGCCGAGGAGAACGCCAAGCUCGGCGGCGACGGCGAAGGGGUCAGGUCCGAGUACGACUUCCUCUACGUCCCCGUCGACUUCGGGACGAGGUUCAACAAGGGCUACGCCUUCGUGAACAUGACGACGGCGGCGGCGGCGCGGCGGCUCCACGCGCACCUCAACGGCCACCGCUGGGAGGCCGCGGGCUCCAAGAAGGUGUGCGACGUCGUGCACGCGCGCCUGGAGGGGCUGGACGGGCUCGUGGCGCACUUCUCCGCGUCGUGGUUCCCCUGCGGCGGCCGCAAGGAUUUCCUGCCGGUGCGCUUCGAGCCGCCGCGCGACGGCGUGCGUUGGACGGCGGAGCACGUGGUCGGCCACCUCCAGCCUCGCCGCUCCUGCUGA